This 506-nucleotide ribosomal RNA is filed under the name uncultured bacterium. RNAcentral's name for it is "partial 16S ribosomal RNA". It matches the Rfam family "Bacterial small subunit ribosomal RNA", at positions 29 to 523 of the family's 1533-position model. The record is from RNAcentral.
AGUGAACGCUGGCGGUAGGCCUAACACAUGCAAGUCGAACGGCAGCACAGAGGAGCUUGCUCCUUGGGUGGCGAGUGGCGGACGGGUGAGGAAUACAUCGGAAUCUACUCUUUCGUGGGGGAUAACGUAGGGAAACUUACGCUAAUACCGCAUACGACUUUCGGUUGAAAGCAGGGGAUCGCAAGACCUUGCGCGAUUGAAUGAGCCGGUGUCGGAUUAGCUAGUUGGCGGGGUAAAGGCCCACCAAGGCAACGAUCCGUAGCUGGUCUGAGAGGAUGGUCAGCCACACUGGAACUGAGACACGGUCCAGACUCCUACGGGAGGCAGCAGUGGGGAAUAUUGGACAAUGGGCGCAAGCCUGAUCCAGCCAUACCGCGUGGGUGAAGAAGGCCUUCGGGUUGUAAAGCCCUUUUGUUGGGAAAGAAAAGCACGCGGUUAAUACCCGAGUGUUCUGACGGUACCCAAGGAAUAAGCACCGGCUAACUUCGUGCCAGCAGCCGCAGUAA